GUAGGUGGCAAGCGUUGUCCGGAACUAUUGGGGCGUAAAGCGCGCGCAGGCGGUUCUUUAAGUCUGAUGUGAAAGCCCACGGGCUCAACCGUGGAGGGUCAUUGGAAACUGGAGAACUUGAGUACAGAAGAGGAAAGCGGAAUUCCACGUGUAGCGGUGAAAUGCGUAGAGAUGUGGAGGAACACCAGUGGCGAAGGCGGCUUUCUGGUCUGUAACUGACGCUGAGGCGCGAAAGCGUGGGGAGCAAACAGGAUUAGAUACCCUGGUAGUCCACGCCGUAAACGAUGAGUGCUAAGUGUUAGGGGGUUUCCGCCCCUUAGUGCUGCAGCUAACGCAUUAAGCACUCCGCCUGGGGAGUACGGCCGCAAAGGCUG
RNAcentral lists this ribosomal RNA (374 nucleotides) under uncultured organism. RNAcentral describes it as "partial 16S ribosomal RNA". It matches the Rfam family "Bacterial small subunit ribosomal RNA", at positions 527 to 896 of the family's 1533-position model. The record is from RNAcentral.